Molecule: ribosomal RNA, 1990 nt
Filed under: human metagenome
Description: bacterial LSU rRNA
Rfam family: Bacterial large subunit ribosomal RNA
Source: RNAcentral
UCAAGUGAAUAAGUGCAUGUGGUGAAUGCCUUGGCGAUUACAGGCGAUGAAGGACGUUGUAGCCUGCGAAAAGCCGCGGGGAGCUGGCAAACAAGCUUUGAUCCGCGGAUGUCCGAAUGGGGAAACCCACCCGCAAGGGUAUCGCUGACUGAAUCCAUAGGUCAGCGAGGCGAACGUGGCGAACUGAAACAUCUAAGUAGCCACAGGAAAAGAAAUCAACCGAGAUUCCGAAAGUAGUGGCGAGCGAAAUCGGAGCAGCCUGUGCGUGAUAGUCGAUUGGCUAGUGGAACGGUAUGGAAAGGCCGGCCAUAGAGGGUGAUAGCCCCUUACACGAAAGCGAAUCGGUGGUACUGAGCGUACGACAAGUAGGGCGGGACACGUGUAAUCCUGUCUGAAGAUGGGGGGACCAUCCUCCAAGGCUAAAUACUCGUAAUCGACCGAUAGUGAACAAGUACUGUGAAGGAAAGGCGAAAAGAACCCCGGGAGGGGAGUGAAAUAGAUCCUGAAACCGCAUGCAUACAAACAGUCGGAGCCUCGCAAGGGGUGACGGCGUACCUUUUGUAUAAUGGGUCAGCGACUUACGUUCAGUGGCAAGCUUAACCAGAUAGGGGAGGCGCAGGGAAACCGAGUCCGAAUAGGGCGCCAUAGUCGCUGGGCGUAGACCCGAAACCAGGUGAUCUAUCCAUGGUCAGGAUGAAGGUUGGGUAACACCAGCUGGAGGUCCGAACCGACUAAUGUUGCAAAAUUAGCGGAUGAACUGUGGAUAGGGGUGAAAGGCUAAUCAAACCUGGAAAUAGCUGGUUCUCCCCGAAAACUAUUUAGGUAGUGCGUCAUGUAUUGCUCCAGGGGGUAGAGCACUGUAAUGGUUGUGGGGGCCAUCGCGGCUUACCACGCCAUAGCAAACUCCGAAUACCUGGAAGUAUGAGCAUGGCAGACAGUCGCCGGGUGCUAACGUCCGGCGGCAAGAGGGAAACAACCCAGACCUACAGCUAAGGUCCCAAAGUGUGGCUAAGUGGGAAACGAAGUGGGAAGGCUAAAACAGUCAGGAUGUUGGCUUAGAAGCAGCCAUCAUUUAAAGAAAGCGUAAUAGCUCACUGAUCGAGUCGUCCUGCGCGGAAGAUGUAACGGGGCUAAGCCAUGCACCGAAGCUUAGGCUGCACUCUCUGAGUGCGGGGUAGGGGAGCGUUCUGUAAGCCUGUGAAGGUGUCUCGUAAGGGAUGCUGGAGGUAUCAGAAGUGCGAAUGCUGACAUGAGUAGCGUUAAAGCGGGUGAAAAGCCCGCUCGCCGUAAGCGCAAGGUUUCCUACGCAACGUUCAUCGGCGUAGGGUGAGUCGGCCCCUAAGGUGAGGGCGAAAGCCAUAGCUGAUGGGAAGCUGGUUAAUAUUCCAGCACCGAUUUCUAGUGCGAUGGGGGGACGGAUCGUGGAAGGUUGUCCGGGUGUUGGAAGUCCCGGUUCCUGACCUGUAGGUGUCUGGUAGGUAAAUCCGCCAGGCGUAUGCCGAGGGGUUGGGACGAGCGAGCUUGCUCGCGAAGCAACUGGAAGUGGUUCCAAGAAAAGCCUCUAAGCUUCAGCUAGAAACGACCGUACCGCAAACCAACACUGGUGCGCGAGAUGAGUAUUCUCAGGCGCUUGAGAGAACUCGGGAGAAGGAACUCGGCAAAUUGACACCGUAACUUCGGAAGAAGGUGUGCCUUGGUAGCUUGAGUGUGAACAACACAAGGGCAAAGAGGUUGCAAAGAAUAGGUGGCUGCGACUGUUUAUUAAAAACACAGCACUCUGCAAACACGAAAGUGGACGUAUAGGGUGUGACGCCUGCCCGGUGCCGGAAGGUUAAGUGAUGGGGUGCAAGCUCUUGAUCGAAGCCCCGGUAAACGGCGGCCGUAACUAUAACGGUCCUAAGGUAGCGAAAUUCCUUGUCGGGUAAGUUCCGACCUGCACGAAUGGCGUAACGAUGGCCACACUGUCUCCUCCCGAGACUCAGCGAAGUUG